RNAcentral lists this transfer RNA (74 nucleotides) under uncultured archaeon. Its description in RNAcentral is "tRNA-Asn(gtt)". It matches the Rfam family "tRNA". Rfam says of the family: Transfer RNA (tRNA) molecules are approximately 80 nucleotides in length. Their secondary structure includes four short double-helical elements and three loops (D, anti-codon, and T loops). The record is from RNAcentral.
GUCUCGGUAGCUCAGUUGGUAGAGCAUCUGACUGUUAAUCAGAGGGUCAUAGGUUCGAGUCCUAUCCGAGACGC